CGUGUGACGUCACUACCUUAUGUGACGGCGGGCUUCUGACGCUGAUAUCGGGCACAGCGUACUUCCGGUUUUUGCUCGCACUAACAAAAUGCCUGGCGCGAAUUGUGUUUUAUUCGGAUGUUCCGCCUGCAAUAAAAGAAAUCGGGGUUGAUCAUUCUAUCGCUUACCCAAAAACAACAGAGUGGAGAGAGAAUCAUUACGUAUCAUACAGUCUACCAGAUCAGACCCGAUAAAUGACAAGACCUUGAAAAUAUGUUCAAGACACGUUGAGCCGGAUUAUUUCGUUGAAAAAAUGUUUACAAAAAUUCUGGGUCCACAUAUCGAAGAUUAAAAGAAGGGUUAGGGAGACUAUCAACCUUAAUUCUUCUACAGAAAAGCGUAACAACAAAGAAAUUGAAUCCAAGGAAGUCACCGAGUCCAAGGAAAACCGAGGAAACUCAAUGUUUACAUAUGAACGAAGUAACCUUUCAGAUGUUG
Patella vulgata (common limpet) is the source of this 477-nucleotide long non-coding RNA. RefSeq lists it as uncharacterized. Lineage: Eukaryota; Metazoa; Mollusca; Gastropoda; Patellidae. The record is from RefSeq and is a predicted model, not a curated record. The transcript has 3 exons.